This 976-nucleotide long non-coding RNA is filed under the name Homo sapiens (human). RNAcentral describes it as "RFX3 divergent transcript". The record is from RNAcentral. Lineage: Eukaryota; Metazoa; Chordata; Mammalia; Primates; Hominidae.
GGAUGUGCCGCCGCUUUUUAGUUUCUGAGGCGCCGGCGGUGUUCCUGGUAGCGUCAGCCUCCUGGCUUUUCCUUUUCCUGGACGCUUCAGGGCUCCGCGGCCUGCGCUAGACUGGAGGGUCCGCGUCACUCUCGCCCUCCUGCUUUCCGCGCUCUCACCCGCUCCCGCCUCCUGAGGGCACGACUUGUGGAGGAGCGCGGGCGGCGGGGCGUGAGCGAGCUGCCUCUGCCGCCAUCUUAGAGAAGGCGAGCGUGGGGUGUGCGUGGGCGCGAGUCGGCCUCCCGCGGUGCCGCCGCAGCGUGGCGCGGAGAGGCAGGGGCAUCCAGUGGUUCAAGGUUACAAUAAGCUGUGAUCGUGCCACUGCAUUCUACCUGGGAUGACAGAGUGGGACCCUGUGCCACAGAGUGAGACCCUGUCUCAAAAAAAAAAAAACUAUGUAAAUCCAAGGAGACGACUCACCUGUAUUGUACCUCUCCAAGUUCUGGAAAGUCGAUGGAGGGUUUACUCAGGUUAGGUGUCUAUACCAAACCAAACAUUAGACUUUCAUAAAAACAAGAAAGGAAAUUGUUUUUGAAGUAUUGAACCCACAGUAUUUAAUGAGAGCAAUCUAUAUUUUACCUAAUUUAGUCUCAAAUAUCACUUAUAUGUACAUAUGCAUGCAUAUAUAUGUAUAUAUACACGUAUUACACUAUAGGUAUUGAUAUCAUCUUCCAGCUCUUAGGCCAAUGAAACAUCCAUGCUGUGGUCUGCUCUGGAUUAUUCUUCUAUAUUUUGCCUACCCUUUUUUUUAAUAUCUCACCUUCUUGCCUUAACUGGAUGAGAUUUCAGGGUCCUUAUUUUUAUUACCUAUUAAUGCAUUUACAAAAAGUUCCCUCCAAGUACAGUGUUUUAAAUUUUGGAAUAUUUUAAUAUACUUAAAUUUAUAGCAUCUAAUAUAAACAUGCAUGUAUCUAACUUCUGGCGUCCUCAAAUUUAA